AUGUCCCACGCGUACACGCCGGUUUCUCCGCGCCGUCCACGCCUACCUGACGACUGUUCGCUGCGUUGUGUUAGCC
This 76-nucleotide small RNA is filed under the name Xanthomonas sp. D-99. RNAcentral describes it as "sX9 sRNA". It matches the Rfam family "Xanthomonas sRNA sX9". The record is from RNAcentral. Lineage: Bacteria; Pseudomonadati; Pseudomonadota; Gammaproteobacteria; Lysobacterales; Lysobacteraceae.